This 192-nucleotide microRNA precursor is filed under the name Oryza sativa Indica Group (long-grained rice). Its description in RNAcentral is "MIR812 microRNA precursor family". It matches the Rfam family "MIR812 microRNA precursor family". The record is from Rfam by way of RNAcentral. Lineage: Eukaryota; Viridiplantae; Streptophyta; Magnoliopsida; Poales; Poaceae.
AAUAAAUGUAGUUAUGUACUAUUCAUGUCUUGACUGUUCAUCUUAUUUAAAAAAAAUUAUAAUUAGUAUUUUUAUUGUUAUUAGAUGAUAAAAUAUGAAUAUUACUUAUUGUGUGACUAUUUUUUUUUAAUUUUUUCAUAAAAUUUUCAAACAAGAUGAUCGGUCAAACGUGUCCUCACGGCUACACUUAUU